AAGGCCUCGGCUUUUCUUUUAGAGUAACAGCUUCUUGAAGAAGAGAGUGAUUUGAGGAUCGUGGCCUCGUACCAUGCGCCUCUAAACCCUUCUUCAUCGCUGCUCACCUCCACCAGGUCUCCUAUGCUAAAAUUCCGUCCGCUAUUUUGCCUGCUGGAGCGCCCCCCUCCCAUGCCAGCCUAAAGCAAUCAGUGUGAGGAAAAGUCAAGGCGAAAAGCAAGACGUCAGUCAAAUGCUUUUCUAUUCUAUUUCUAUUUCUGUUGCCUUUGCAUUUGGGUACUAUUUGUUUAUAUCUCAGGCCCUGAUUCUGGACUCAACUUAAAAAAGCGUUAAGCUCAAUUGAUGGAUGGAUACACUAGCGGAGUGCUAGUCCGAUGAAAUUGAAAUAGAGAGUAAAU
RNAcentral lists this long non-coding RNA (398 nucleotides) under Ricinus communis (castor bean). RNAcentral's name for it is "long non-coding RNA (RCOM_LNC003366)". Lineage: Eukaryota; Viridiplantae; Streptophyta; Magnoliopsida; Malpighiales; Euphorbiaceae. The record is from RNAcentral.